Molecule: ribosomal RNA, 253 nt
Filed under: uncultured bacterium
Lineage: Bacteria
Description: partial 16S ribosomal RNA
Rfam family: Bacterial small subunit ribosomal RNA
Source: RNAcentral
UACGAAGGGGGCGAGCGUUGUUCGGAUUUACUGGGCGUAAAGGGCGCGCAGGCGGCUAUGUUUGUCAGGCGUGAAAGCCCCGGGCUUAACCUGGGAACUGCGUUUGAUACGGCAUGGCUAGAGUUCGGGAGAGGAGAGUGGAAUUCCCAGUGUAGAGGUGAAAUUCGUAGAUAUUGGGAAGAACACCUAUGGCGAAGGCAGCACUCUGGGACGGUACUGACGCUGAGACGCGAAAGCGUGGGGAGCGAACAGG